CAGGAUGCUCUCGAUUGUGCAUCUGUAGAAGUUUGUGAGUGCUUUUGGUGACAAGCCGAAUUUCUUCAGCCUCCUGAGGUUGAAGAGGCGCUGCUGCGCCUUCUUCACGAUGCUGUCUGUAGUUGCCAGGUUUGCUCCAGGAGGUGAAAAACCUAAAGAGGGAGCGAAUGAGACACACAACUUCAAAGGGUGUCAGUGUUUGGUUUAAGCAUGAUGACCAUAAUAUGAGGAGUAGAGAUUGAGAGUAGGAAAGAUGAUGAGAAGUUGGAAGGUGUACCGGCUGUUUGAAGAAGAAGACCAAGGUGCAGCGUGAAAAAAAAUUGAAUGCAUUCUGGGACCAGGAGGCAAAGAAACCGCUGUGCCCAACCAAAGUGUCUGCCAUUUGCACGUUUUUUUAUUAUGCGAAACCAGAUGGAGAAGAAGGAAGUCUUAGAAAUAAUUAUAUCGAAGCGUAACAAUGAGUCGAAAUUGCUUAAGAAGUCCAAGAUUUAGGUUUAAACUAGUAACUUGAAGGCUAAGGCGUAACUUUUUUAUUUGUUAACUCAGUGAAAAAGUAUUUAAAAAAUGUAAUAUGAUGUUCUCGUAUCUUAAUGUACACUGAACAAAAAAAUGUGGGUCUACUAUAGUUAUUGCUGUUGUAUCACUAUAAGAUUGCUAUAAUAUUACUGUAAGAUAUACCAUUUGUACAGUUGAAGUUGGAAAAUUACAUACACUUAGGUUGGAGUCAUUAAAACUCAUUUUUCAACCACUCCAAAAAUGUCUUGUUAACCAAACUAUAGUUUUGGGAAGUCGGUUAGGACAUCUACUUUGUGCAUGACACCAGAAAUGUUCCCAACAAUUGUUUACAGACAGAUUAUUUCAUUUAUAAUUUACUGUAUCACAAUUCCAGUGGGUCAGAAGUUUACAUACACUAAGUUGACUGUGCCUUUAAACAGCUUGGAAAAUUCCAGAAAAUGGUGUCAUGGCUUUAGAAGCUUCUGAUAGGCUAAUUGACAUCACUUGGGUCAAUUGGAGGUGUACCUGUGGAUGUAUUUCAAGGCCUACCUUCAAACUUAGUGCCUCUUUAACAUCAUGGGAAAAUCAAAAGAAAUCAGCCAAGACCUCAGAAAAAAUAUUGGUUCAUCCUUGAGAGCAAUUUCCAAAUGCCUGAAGGUACCACGUUCAUCUGUACAAACAAUAGUACACAAGUAUAAACACCAUGGCACCACGCAGCCAUCAUACCGCUCAGGAAGGAGACGCGUUCUGUCUCCUAGAGAUGAACGUACUUUGGUGCGAAAAGUGCAAAUCAAUCCCAGAACAACAGCAAAGGAUCUUGUGAAGAUGCUGGAGGAAAUGGGUACAACAGUAUCUAUAUCCACAGUAAAACGAGUCCUAUAGCGACAUAACUUGAAAGGUCGCUCAGCAAGGAAGAAGACACUAUUCCAAAACUGUCAUAAAAAAGCCUGGGGCGGCAGGGUAGCCUAGUGGUUAGAGCGUUAGACUUUUAACCGAAAGGUUGAAAGUUCAAAUACCCAAGCUGACAAGGUACAAAUCUGUCGUUCUGCCCCUGAACAGGUAGUUAUCCCACUGUUCCUAGGCUGUCAUUGAAAAUAAGAAUUUGUUCUUGACUGACUUGCCUAGUUAAAUAAAUUGGGACAAAGAUUGUAUUUCUUGGAGAAAUGUCCUCUGGUCUGAUGAAACAAAAAUAUAACUGUUUGGCCAUAAUGACCAUCGUUAUGUUUGGAGGAAAAAGGGGGAUGCUUGCAAGCCAAAGAACACCAUCCCAACCGUGAAGCACGAGGGUGGAAGCAUCAUGUUGUGGGUGUGCUUUGUUACAGGAGGGACUGGUGCACUUCACAAAAUUAUAUGGCAUUAUGAAGAAGGAAAAUUAUGUGGAUAUAUUAAAGCAACAUCUCAAGACAUCAGUCGGGAAAUUAAAGCUUGGUCGCAAAUGGGUCUUCCAAAUGGACAAUGACUCUAAGCAUACUUACAAAUUUGUGGCAAAAUGGCUUAAGGACAACAAAGUCAAUGUAUUGGAGUGGCCAUCACAAAGCCCUGACCUCAAUCCCAUAGAAAAUUUGUGGGCAGAACUGAAAAAGCGUGUGCGAGCAAGGAGGCCUACAAACCUGACUCGGUUACACCAGCUCUGUCAAGAGGGAUGGGACUAAAUUCACCCAACUUAUUGUGGGAAGCUUUUGGAAGGCUACCCGAAACGUUUGACCCAAGUUAAACAAUUUAAAGGCAAUGCUACCAAAUACUAAUUGAGUAUGUAAACUUCUGACCCACUGGGAAUGUGAUGAAAGAAAUAAAAGCUGAAAUAAAUCAUUCUCUCUACUAUUAUUCUGACAUUUCAUAUUCUUAAAAUAAAGUGGUGAUCCUAACUGACCUAAAAUUGAAUUUUUACUAGGAUUAAAUGUCAGGAAUUGUGAAAAACUGAGUUUAAUUUGGCUAGGGUGUAUGUAAACUUCUGACUUCAACUGUAUGUCUUUUUUGUUGUUGUUGCCUGUUUGCCUUUUAUUUUGGCAUUAAUAUGUGUCACAUAUUAGUUUGCAAACAAUGUAAACAAAUAAUAAUAAUUGAUUUAAUAAAGCUGCAUACAAACAUGUU
Molecule: long non-coding RNA, 2586 nt
Organism: Oncorhynchus nerka (sockeye salmon)
Lineage: Eukaryota; Metazoa; Chordata; Actinopteri; Salmoniformes; Salmonidae
Exons: 4
Source: RefSeq, a predicted model, not a curated record